GCAAUGGUAGUUCAGGGGUAGAAUUCUCGUCUUCCACGCAGGAGACCCGGGUUCGAUUUCUGACCAAGGCA
RNAcentral lists this transfer RNA (71 nucleotides) under Loxodonta africana (African savanna elephant). It matches the Rfam family "tRNA". From Rfam's summary of the family: Transfer RNA (tRNA) molecules are approximately 80 nucleotides in length. The record is from Rfam by way of RNAcentral. Lineage: Eukaryota; Metazoa; Chordata; Mammalia; Proboscidea; Elephantidae.